UAUUAAGUAGCUCAGGAGGAAGAGCAUCGAAUUUUUUCGAAGGUCAUGGGUUCGAGUCCCAUCUUAAUAA
This 70-nucleotide transfer RNA is filed under the name Marinibium conchae. RNAcentral describes it as "Glaciecola sp. MH2013 tRNA-OTHER". It matches the Rfam family "tRNA". From Rfam's summary of the family: Transfer RNA (tRNA) molecules are approximately 80 nucleotides in length. Their secondary structure includes four short double-helical elements and three loops (D, anti-codon, and T loops). The record is from RNAcentral. Lineage: Bacteria; Pseudomonadati; Pseudomonadota; Gammaproteobacteria; Alteromonadales; Alteromonadaceae.